GAUGAACGCUAGCGGCAGGCUUAACACAUGCAAGUCGAGGGGCAGCAUAAUAGCUAGUAAUAGUUAUGGUGGCGACCGGCGGAUGGGUGCGUAACGCGUAUGCAACCUACCUAUAACAGGGGGAUAAUCUGGAGAAAUUCGGUCUAAUACCCCAUAUGACAUUUUAUGGCAUCAUAUUAUGUUGAAAUUUUCGGAGGUUAUAGAUGGGCAUGCGUGACAUUAGCUAGUUGGUAAGGUAACGGCUUACCAAGGCUACGAUGUCUAGGGGGACUGAGAGGUUAACCCCCCACACUGGUACUGAGACACGGACCAGACUCCUACGGGAGGCAGCAGUGAGGAAUAUUGGUCAAUGGACGGAAGUCUGAACCAGCCAUGCCGCGUGCAGGAAGACGGCUCUAUGAGUUGUAAACUGCUUUUGUACGAGGGUAAAGUGGGCUACGUGUAGUCUUUUGAAAGUAUCGUACGAAUAAGGAUCGGCUAACUCCGUGCCAGCCGCCGCGGUAA
RNAcentral lists this ribosomal RNA (504 nucleotides) under uncultured bacterium. Its description in RNAcentral is "partial 16S ribosomal RNA". It matches the Rfam family "Bacterial small subunit ribosomal RNA", at positions 28 to 523 of the family's 1533-position model. The record is from RNAcentral.